GACGAACGCUGGCGGCGUGCUUAACACAUGCAAGUCGAGCGAGGCCCAUCCUUCGGGGUGGUGCCCUAGCGGCGAACGGGUGAGUAACACGUGGGCAACCUGCCCUCAGCUCUGGGAUAACUCCAAGAAAUUGGUGCUAAUACCGGAUGUGACCGCUGACCGCAUGGUCUGGUGGUGGAAAGAUUCAUCGGCUGAGGAUGGGCCCGCGGCCUAUCAGCUUGUUGGUGGGGUAAUGGCCCACCAAGGCGACGACGGGUAGCCGGCCUGAGAGGGUGGCCGGCCACACUGGGACUGAGACACGGCCCAGACUCCUACGGGAGGCAGCAGUGGGGAAUAUUGCGCAAUGGGCGAAAGCCUGACGCAGCGACGCCGCGUGAGGGAUGACGGCCUUCGGGUUGUAAACCUCUUUCAGUAGGGACGAAGCGAAAGUGACGGUACCUACAGAAGAAGCACCGGCCAACUACGUG
RNAcentral lists this ribosomal RNA (467 nucleotides) under uncultured bacterium. RNAcentral describes it as "partial 16S ribosomal RNA". It matches the Rfam family "Bacterial small subunit ribosomal RNA", at positions 28 to 507 of the family's 1533-position model. The record is from RNAcentral.